Non-coding RNA from Callithrix jacchus (white-tufted-ear marmoset), 443 nucleotides. NCBI's taxonomy places the organism in Eukaryota, Metazoa, Chordata, Mammalia, Primates, Cebidae. The record is from RefSeq and is a predicted model, not a curated record.
CUCCUAUGGUUGAAUCAACUGUGUGCAUGUAAGCUAGGGACAAUCUUGUGUUGUGGCUGAGGGUGGAGCAGUGCCACAGUAAGCGGGAAAUGGGCUGUGGGAGGCUGGCCCUGCCGCAUCCACUGCCUGCCGGCGGCUCACCUUGAACUUGAAAUCGUCAUGGCUGGUGGAGCCUUUCAUGGUGAAUGACUGGGAGAAGCUGAGGAAGAAGCAGAGGGACUUCAGGAGGUUCAGCCCUGGGACCUAUGGCAACUCCUCCCACAAGCCCCAGCAUCCUCAUAAGAAGGGAAGAUCGGACACAGACAGGCACAGAGCAAAGACCACGUGACGAUGCAGGGAGAAGACAGGCCCCAGAAGAAACCAUCCCUGCCAACACCUUGACCUUGGACUUCCCACCCUCCAGAACCAUGAGAAAAUAAACCUCUUAUUUGAGGCUCCCAGAC